RNAcentral lists this microRNA (19 nucleotides) under Ciona intestinalis (vase tunicate). RNAcentral's name for it is "cin-miR-4012-3p". Lineage: Eukaryota; Metazoa; Chordata; Ascidiacea; Phlebobranchia; Cionidae. The record is from miRBase by way of RNAcentral.
AGCAUUAUGUAUGUGAGCU